AUUAUGGAGGACAGGGUUAUGGUGGUUACGGACAUGCUGCGCCACAGAGUCAGGACCUGAGCAUGCAUGCUGCAGCCGCCGUUCAUGGGGCUUCUUAACAGGGCUAUCAGAGUUGCCAACAGCAUGUAAACUGAACUUACAAGAGUGGCUUUUUAGAUAUAGUUUUCAGUGCCUUUAAUUUAAGUAGGAUUGAUUUAGCUGGUUAUUUAGCUGAAUCUGUAAUGUGCCGAAUUUUGUUACCGGAUUGAAUUGAUAUCUUGAAAACAAUGUGUGAGUAAUAUUUGAAAACUUGGUUUCUUUUUUUCUUUUUUAAAUUUUAUUGAAAACUUGUUUUCCAACAAGCUAUUUAUCAAAGUAAAGCUCUGCCUCAAAUAAU
Molecule: long non-coding RNA, 376 nt
Filed under: Prunus persica (peach)
Lineage: Eukaryota; Viridiplantae; Streptophyta; Magnoliopsida; Rosales; Rosaceae
Description: long non-coding RNA (PPER_LNC008366)
Source: RNAcentral